CGACGUAGGGGGCGAGCGUUGUCCGGAAUUACUGGGUGUAAAGAGCACGUAGGCGGAUGUAUAAGUCAGGUGUGAAAGACCGCAGCCCAACUGCGGGGUUGCACUUGAAACUGUAUAUCUUGAGGGCAGGAGAGGUCAGUAGAAUUCCUGGUGUAGCGGUGAAAUGCGUAGAAAUCAGGAGGAAUACCAGUGGCGAAGGCGACUGACUGGACGGACCCGGACGCUGAGGUGCGAAAGCGUGGGUAGCAAACAGGAUUAGAUCCCCUGGUAGUCCACGCCGUAAACGAUGGAUACUAGGUGUGGGAGGUAUCGACCCCUUCCGUGCCGCAGCUAACGCAAUAAGUAUCCCGCCUGGGGAGUACGGUCGCAAGGCUGAAACUUAAAGGAAUUGACGGGG
Molecule: ribosomal RNA, 397 nt
Filed under: uncultured bacterium
Lineage: Bacteria
Description: partial 16S ribosomal RNA
Rfam family: Bacterial small subunit ribosomal RNA
Source: RNAcentral